UACGGAAGAUCCAAGCGUUAAUCGGAAUUACUGGGCGUAAAGCGCGCGUAGGUGGUUUAUUAAGUUGGGUGUGAAAGCCCCGGGCUCAACCUGGGAACUGCAUCCAAAACUGAUUCACUAGAGUACGAAAGAGGGAGGUAGAAUUCACAGUGUAGCGGUGGAAUGCGUAGAUAUUGUGAAGAAUAUCAAUGGCGAAGGCAGCCUCCUGGUUCUGUACUGACACUGAGGUGCGAAAGCGUGGGUAGCGAACAGGAUUAGAUACCCUGGUAGUCCACGCCGUAAACGAUGACAACUAGCUGUUGGGAAGCAAUGCUUUUCAGUGGCGCAGCUAACGUAUUAAGUUGUCCGCCUGGGGAGUACGACCGCAAGGUUAAAACUCAAAUGAAUUGACGGGGACCCGCACAAGCGGUGGAGCAUGUGGUUUAAUUCGAUGCAACGCGAAAAACCUUACCUACUCUUGACAUCCUUGGAAUCUCUUGUAAUGAGAGAGUGCCUUUUGGAACCAAGUGACAGGUGCUGCAUGGCUGUCGUCAGCUCGUGUCGUGAGAUGUUCCGUUAAGUCGGAUAACGAGCGCAACCCUUACCCUUAUUUGCCAGCGGUUCGGCCGGGAACUAUAAGGGGACUGCCGGUGAUAAACCGGAGGAAGGUGAGGAUGACGUCAAGUCAUCAUGGCCCUUACGAGUAGGGCUACACACGUGCUACAAUGGGAAGUACAGAGGGACGCCAAAGCGUGAGCUGGAGCUAAUCUCAUAAAACUUUUCGUAGUCCGGAUUGCAGUCUGCAACUCGACUGCAUGAAGUCGGAAUCGCUAGUAAUCGCGGAUCAGCACGCCGCGGUGAAUACGUUCUCGGGUCU
Molecule: ribosomal RNA, 856 nt
Filed under: uncultured bacterium
Lineage: Bacteria
Description: bacterial SSU rRNA
Rfam family: Bacterial small subunit ribosomal RNA
Source: RNAcentral